UGGGCAGUGGCUCAGUGGUAGAGCUCCCGCUUCAUACGCGGGAAGACCUAUCGCCAGCAGGCUGACCAC
RNAcentral lists this transfer RNA (69 nucleotides) under Toxocara canis (dog roundworm). Lineage: Eukaryota; Metazoa; Nematoda; Chromadorea; Rhabditida; Toxocaridae. The record is from Rfam by way of RNAcentral.